UAGAAACACACAAGAAAGAAAAACCAAUAGACAUAGCAAACCUAUCAAAGAAGGAUGUGCAUGUGAAAGAAUCUGCAAACUUGCCCAAAAAGGUUAUCCAUAUAAAAGAAUCUGAACCACAUAAGAAAGAAAAGCCAAUAGACAUAGCCAAAGUGCCAAAGAAAGAUGUCCA
Python bivittatus (Burmese python) is the source of this 172-nucleotide non-coding RNA. Lineage: Eukaryota; Metazoa; Chordata; Lepidosauria; Squamata; Pythonidae. The record is from RefSeq and is a predicted model, not a curated record.